This 513-nucleotide ribosomal RNA is filed under the name uncultured bacterium. RNAcentral describes it as "partial 16S ribosomal RNA". It matches the Rfam family "Bacterial small subunit ribosomal RNA", at positions 28 to 523 of the family's 1533-position model. The record is from RNAcentral.
GACGAACGCUGGCGGCAUGCCUAAUACAUGCAAGUCGAGCGAACAGAUGAAGUGCUUGCACUUCUGACGUUAGCGGCGAACGGGUGAGUAACACGUAAGGAAUCUACCUAUAAGCGGGGGAUAACAUUCGGAAACGGGUGCUAAUACCGCAUAAUAUCUUCUUCCGCAUGGAAGAAGAUUGAAAGGCGGCUCUGCUGUCACUUAUAGAUGAACUUGCGGUGCAUUAGUUAGUUGGUGGGGUAAUGGCCUACCAAGACGAUGAUGCAUAGCCGACCGGGGAGGGGGAUCGGCCACAUUGGGACUGAGACACGGCCCAAACUCCUAAGGGAGGAAGCAGUAGGGAAUCUUCCGCAAUGGGCGAAAGCCUGAGGGAGCAAUGCCGCGUGAGUGAAGAAGGCCUUCGGGUCGUAAAACUCUGUUAUAAGAGAAGAACAAAUUGUAGAGUAACUGCUACAGUCUUGACGGUAUCUUAUCAGAAAGCCACGGCUAACUACGUGCCAGCCGCCGCAGUAA